Molecule: ribosomal RNA, 503 nt
Filed under: uncultured bacterium
Lineage: Bacteria
Description: partial 16S ribosomal RNA
Rfam family: Bacterial small subunit ribosomal RNA
Source: RNAcentral
AUUGAACGCUGGCGGCAGGCUUAACACAUGCAAGUCGAGCGGGGUGAUGGUGCUUGCACUAUCACUUAGCGGCGGACGGGUGAGUAAUGCUUAGGAAUCUGCCUAUUAGUGGGGGACAACAUCUCGAAAGGGAUGCUAAUACCGCAUACGUCCUACGGGAGAAAGCAGGGGAUCACUUGUGACCUUGCGCUAAUAGAUGAGCCUAAGUCGGAUUAGCUAGUUGGGGGGGUAAAGGCCUACCAAGGCGACGAUCUGUAGCGGGUCUGAGAGGAAGGUCCGCCACACUGGGACGGAGACACGGCCCAGACUCCUACGGGAGGCAGCCGUGGGGAAUAUUGGACAAUGGGGGGAACCCUGAUCCAGCCAUGCCGCGUGUGUGAAGAAGGCCUUAUGGUUGUAAAGCACUUUAAGCGAGGAGGAGGCUCUUUUGGUUAAUACCCAAGAUGAGUGGACGUUACUCGCAGAAUAAGCACCGGCUAACUCUGUGCCAGCCGCCGCGGUAA